Molecule: non-coding RNA, 487 nt
Organism: Paramuricea clavata
Lineage: Eukaryota; Metazoa; Cnidaria; Anthozoa; Malacalcyonacea; Plexauridae
Source: the annotation of a GenBank genome assembly
GUUUUCUAUGUUACAUGUAUUUAUUUUGCUUCAGUUCAGCAUUGUUUUCAAAUAGUUCCACUUUGUAAUGGUGUGUUAUAAUAGUCAAUAAUAAUAUAAGCAAACAGGUUUACAUGGCACUCAAAUGUGUAGCCGGUCUUUUCAACGAGUAUGUAAAGGUAAGUUUAUACUUCAAAAAGGUCUGUUUUUAACCUGACAAGCAUGCUGUCCAAAGUGAACUAAAACUCAAUCUUUGUGACCUUUCAAUGAAAUUUCAUAUGUUCAAAUGACAACUGCUACUACUGUAUAUAUCUUUUGAUGUUUGGUUUGCUGUUGAUACUAUAGAAUUGAUGAAAAUGCAAUUAUAUAAUAUUUUAUUUGUUGAAAGAGAUUCUAAGAUCAAGGAUUGUGUGGAAACUGUUUGUUCCUUGUGAGGACUUUGAGCAAAACUGUUUGUUUACUCUUGAGUUAGCAAAAUAUACCCAAAACUUAUUUCCUGUUUUUUAUU